RNAcentral lists this transfer RNA (74 nucleotides) under Candidatus Woesearchaeota archaeon. RNAcentral describes it as "tRNA-Arg". It matches the Rfam family "tRNA". From Rfam's summary of the family: Transfer RNA (tRNA) molecules are approximately 80 nucleotides in length. Their secondary structure includes four short double-helical elements and three loops (D, anti-codon, and T loops). Further hydrogen bonds mediate the characteristic L-shaped molecular structure. tRNAs have two regions of fundamental functional importance: the anti-codon, which is responsible for specific mRNA codon recognition, and the 3' end, to which the tRNAs corresponding amino acid is attached (by aminoacyl-tRNA synthetases). tRNAs cope with the degeneracy of the genetic code in two manners: having more than one tRNA (with a specific anti-codon) for a particular amino acid; and 'wobble' base-pairing, i.e. permitting non-standard base-pairing at the 3rd anti-codon position. The record is from RNAcentral. Lineage: Archaea; Nanobdellati; Candidatus Woesearchaeota.
GCCCCUGUAGUUUAGCCUGGAUAUGACGUAAGAUUGCGGAUCUUAUAACCCGGGUUCGAAUCCCGGCAGGGGCG